GUGGGGAAUUUUGGACAAUGGGCGAAAGCCUGAUCCAGCAAUGCCGCGUGCAGGAUGAAGGCCCUCGGGUUGUAAACUGCUUUUGUACGGAACGAAAAGCUCUGGGCUAAUACCCCGGAGUCAUGACGGUACCGUAAGAAUAAGCACCGGCUAACUACGUGCCAGCAGCCGCGGUAAUACGUAGGGUGCAAGCGUUAAUCGGAAUUACUGGGCGUAAAGCGUGCGCAGGCGGUUUUGUAAGACAGUGGUGAAAUCCCCGGGCUGAACCUGGGAAAUGCCAUUGUGACUGCAAAGCUAGAGUGCGGCAGAGGGGGAUGGAAUUCCGCGUGUAGCAGUGAAAUGCGUAGAUAUGCGGAGGAACACCGAUGGCGAAGGCAAUCCCCUGGGCCUGCACUGACGCUCAUGCACGAAAGCGUGGGGAGCAAACAGGAUUAGAUACCCGUGUAGUCC
RNAcentral lists this ribosomal RNA (450 nucleotides) under uncultured bacterium. RNAcentral's name for it is "partial 16S ribosomal RNA". It matches the Rfam family "Bacterial small subunit ribosomal RNA", at positions 354 to 796 of the family's 1533-position model. The record is from RNAcentral.